GUUGGAAUCGCUAGUAAUCGCGGAUCAGCACGCCGCGGUGAAUACGUUCCCGGGCCUUGUACACACCGCCCGUCACACCAUGGGAGUUGGUUUUACCCGAAGCCGGUGCGCUAACCGCAAGGAGGCAGCCGACCACGGUACGGUCAGCGACUGGGGUGAAGUCGUAACAAGGUAGCCGUAGGGGAACCUGCGGCUGGAUCACCUCCUUU
RNAcentral lists this ribosomal RNA (209 nucleotides) under Puia sp. Its description in RNAcentral is "partial 16S ribosomal RNA". It matches the Rfam family "Bacterial small subunit ribosomal RNA", at positions 1325 to 1533 of the family's 1533-position model. Lineage: Bacteria; Pseudomonadati; Bacteroidota; Chitinophagia; Chitinophagales; Chitinophagaceae. The record is from RNAcentral.